This 774-nucleotide ribosomal RNA is filed under the name uncultured Neocallimastigales. Its description in RNAcentral is "partial large subunit ribosomal RNA". It matches the Rfam family "Eukaryotic large subunit ribosomal RNA", at positions 22 to 639 of the family's 3401-position model. The record is from RNAcentral. Lineage: Eukaryota; Fungi; Neocallimastigomycota; Neocallimastigomycetes; Neocallimastigales.
GUACACGCUGUGACUAGCAUAUCAAUAAGCGGAGGAAAAGAAACUAACAAGGAUUCCCCUAGUAACGGCGAGUGAAGCGGGAAGAGCUCAAAUUUGAAAUCUUAAAGGGUUUCCCUUUACGAAUUGUAGUUUAAAGAAGUGUUUUCUGUUGAGGUUUUGGUAAAAGUUCUUUGGAAUAGGACAUCAUAGAGGGUGAGAAUCCCGUAUUUGACCUUUACUUUCAACUUUGUGAUACACUUUCAAAGAGUCGGAUUGUUUGGGGAUGCAGUCCAAAAUGGGUGGUAAAUUUCAUCUAAAGCUAAAUAUUGGCGAGAGACCGAUAGCGAACAAGUACCGUGAGGGAAAGAUGAAAAGAACUUUGAAAAGAGAGUUAAACAGUACGUGAAAUUGUCAAAAGGGAAGCGUUUGACACCAGUGUUGUUUUUCUGAAAAUCAAUUAAAGAACUGUUUAUGCUAAGUUGUUUAGACUUUAUCAGCUAACUGUUUAGUUUUGAGCUUUUCUUUAAUGCACUUUUCAGUUAACAAGUCAACAUCAAUUUCUUUUGCUGUAAAAAAGCUUGAGGAAGGUGGCUUGAGAUUCGUCUUAAGUGUUUAUAGCCUCUUGCCUAUGCAGUCGGAGAGAUUGAGGUCUGCAGCGUAGAUCCUUCGGGGCUAAAUGCAUUUGUGCUAAGUUAUAGCAUUUUAUAGACAACUUGUUGACUAUGAUUUGUCUUGUAGCUUACUCGCUUAUGUUAUUUUACCUACGCUUAGGAUGUUGACGCGCGUGUGUGCGUG